Long non-coding RNA from Salvelinus fontinalis (brook trout), 1926 nucleotides. RefSeq lists it as uncharacterized. The transcript has 2 exons. Lineage: Eukaryota; Metazoa; Chordata; Actinopteri; Salmoniformes; Salmonidae. The record is from RefSeq and is a predicted model, not a curated record.
AAGAAUAUUCUUUGACACAUUUUCUCUUCCUUUGAAAUUCUUAUAGGACAGAACAUGGACACAAUGCAAUUGGGAUCAAGAAGAAGAUCUUCUCAUGAAUGAAUCAAGUCCAUGGAAUGGAUAUAGACAAAAAGAGAAUUCAAGGACUAUCAGAGGUGGAGAGGCGAGGCAGGGGUGAGGACAUCAUCCUGCUAGGGCUGUAUUUUUUAUUUUCCCUUAAAUUUCCCCAAAAAUGUCAGAAAAACACUUAUGUUGUUAAGUUACUGUGUUCUGGGGAUAAGAGCAGUUGGGGUGAAGUUACCAGGGCCGGUCAUAAAGAUGGCAAACUUCCUAACAUAACUAAGUGGAUACGAUAUACACACUAAAAGCUGAAAAAUCUGUAUUUAGCAUCAAGUCUACAAUAUUGUUAGUUUACCUAUGAUUCAUUUUUAAUGUAUGUUGUUUUUAUUGUACAUCAUUAUUUAUAUAUUUUUUAAUGUCUUGAAAAGCACUAUACAAAGUAAAUGUAUUAUUUAUUAUGCUCUGACAUGUCUGCAGAAAUGUUGCAAUUUUGUAAUGUGUUUGGUUUGGUAAAUUGCUUUGUAAAUAUUAAUUCAUAUUUGUGGUGCCACUAAAUAAUCAAUGAUUUAUUUAAAUCGAUAUUGUCAAUAUUGUUAUUAUUAUUAAAAUAUGUUUUUACAAUGGAGGGAGGGAGGACAGGGAGUUUAAAAUAUGAACCCCAAAAGGUUAUUUUUCUUUUUAGCUUUUUGUCUGAAAGUAUUUUCUCAACUGCGAUACCAACUCGAGUCAGCAGAUGGCGAUGUGUGUCUUUCAGGUGAUUCUCUCACUGUGACAUAUAAUCUAGUGAACGGGCUCUUCAACAUCAACAGCUGGUCAGCCACCUUGGUUCACUAACUUUAUGGAAAAAGGUUUAUUCAAUAAAUCUAGCAACUCCUCCCAUACUGGUAAAAUACAGGAAUACACACUCAGAGCCUCCUGUUUACACCUCCAAGGUGCCCCCCUCACACAGGAAUAUACACUCAGAGCCUACGAGGCUUUUAUAAAAACUACACUUUGCGUGGUUCGUUCACCUCUUUUUAAAACUAGGUUUGAGAUGUGGUAUCCACUCGGCUCGCUGCCUCUCAGAUCAGAGGUGGGUCUAUCUGCUCCAUUCCCAAAGUGUGGUCUCCCUGAGAUCCCAAGUUAGAGCGAUCCCUGGAGCAACAUUUACCCAGGUCAUCAGAAGCGUCACCAAGUUAAGAUUAACAUCCCCAAAUGUGGUUAAUUUCUUUCAUAUCAAAUGAGACAAACUUAUCACACAAGUCAGAGAUAUUCUUAAACUAAAUCUUUAUUCACUUAUUAAUAAGGGAGCAGGUCAAGAAGACGCACACAUACAAAGUGAAUCAUUUGAGUGCUCUACGAUAAUUAUGGCUGGUUGACCCACAGGACAAAAGUACAAAGGUCUUUUAUAGCCAAGAUACACCCCUUUCAAACUACAUGACGAACAACAGAUGUACAGAACGGGUCACAAGGUUAAGAUUUGUAUGAAAGAAUCUGCUGUAUCUGCUGUAAAAACAGUAUUCUUUGUGUAGAGACCAGGGUCUGGCCCUGGGGUCAUCUCUCCCUGGUACCAUAUAGAACAGAAACAUUAACUCAUGCUCUGGAAUGCGGUCUCUUUAGGUUUUAUCACCCAAAAGACAUUGUAAAUCUCCUGUCAGUGUUUUCUCCCAGAGGCCCAUCCUCAGUAGAACACAGACACUAUAGUUCUAAGAACCCUCUAUUCUGUUGCAUAAAACAAACAUUUGAUCCAAUAAAAGUAUUAUAACAUAAUGUUGCAGUUUUGCUCUGUGUCCACUGAAAGUUGACUAGUAACAACAACUGGGACCUAAAAGACACCCACCAUGAGACCCACUAAAUCUGCCCAAGAAGAGGCAAACAAAAGAAAAA